CUCUCGUUUUACUUUCACACGUUAUCAGCACGCCUAUGCCGAGAGCCUCGACGAAGAACUCUGAUGAAUUCCUUUCUCCGGAUACGCUGGAACAACCUUCUCCUCGUUUCUUCUUUUCGUCGACCCCGUGAUGCAAAGAGUAAGAAGGCCACCAUGAGAAGAAAGCACAAAAUCCUGAGAAUUUACAAUUUCUUGCAUCUACCAUGACGAACACACAUCUGAAGAACAAUAACUGGAAGAGCGGAAAAACAGUCGAACAAGAAUCAGGAAGCACAACGCAAAGAUCAAGAGAUAAAGUCACAAACAGCAAGCAUCCCGAAUCAGCCUUAAAGACCAGAACUCUUGAUCUUAAUCGUUACAUCAUCAGGUGAUCCUAUUCCAAAUUUUGUUCUUAGACAAAUACGUACUAGUAACCUCCAAUCCAGGCGACGUACUGCUUGCAGCGGAGAGCCCAGCCUCGACGUCGCACCGGUGCACGACGUGCAAGACACCCGGCCAACGGCCAACUCCCUUACCAACAGCCGACGCCAAUCGGCCAUGGCCACUGACGAGUGACGACGCAGCGGCCAGCCGAGACGGUGUUUGUGAGGCACCCCUCCUGUUCCGGCUCCUUGCACUACGGCGCGCAGCGCUCAGCCCACGGCCCGGCCACCCUCGGAACCACUGCUUCCGGCGGCAGGACCAGAUCUCGACGCCGGCGGCGCCCUCCGGCGCACCAGGCCGCGACCAUAUGCAUGGCGCUUCCCGUACCGCAGCACUGCAGCGGCAUCGGACGCCCACGACCCUCUCAGCGUGGUGGCUGCUCCUCCAAGCGACGGCACGGCUGGCCCCUCUCAAGGCAGCGGCGAGGCGCCGUGCCUUAGCAAGCAACGGCGAGGUUGGUUUCAAUGGCUAGAAAUCACACGCACCCACGGGAUGGGAAUUGGGCAAACCUUAUCUGUUUGUUUUUUCUCAAUUUAGCCCUUACAGUUUACUUAUUCACGGAUUAGGCACUACCUACAGAUCCUGUGCUAAUCAUGUAUAAGUCAAGUGAUUUCGUUUUUCA
Molecule: long non-coding RNA, 1045 nt
Organism: Triticum aestivum (bread wheat)
Lineage: Eukaryota; Viridiplantae; Streptophyta; Magnoliopsida; Poales; Poaceae
Exons: 2
Source: RefSeq, a predicted model, not a curated record